GAUGAACGCUGGCGGCGUGCCUAAUACAUGCAAGUCGAGCGAACGGACGAGAAUCUUGCUUCUCUGAUGUUAGCGGCGGACGGGUGAGUAACACGUGGAUAACCUACCUAUAAGACUGGGAUAACUUCGGGAAACCGUAGCUAAUACCGGAUAAUAUUUUGAACCGCAUGGUUCAAAAGUGAAAGACGGUCUUGCUGUCACUUAUAGAUGGAUCCGCGCUGCAUUAGCUAGUUGGUAAGGUAACGGCUUACCAAGGCAACGAUGCAUAGCCGACCUGAGAGGGUGAUCGGCCACACUGGAACUGAGACACGGUCCAGGCUCCUACGGGAGGCAGCAGUAGGGAAUCUUCCGCAAUGGGCGAAAGCCUGACGGAGCAACGCCGCGUGAGUGAUGAAGGUCUUCGGAUCGUAAAACUCUGUUAUUAGGGAAGAACAUAUGUGUAAGUAACUGUGCACAUCUUGACGGUACCUAAUCAGAAAGCCACGGCUAACUACGUG
This 497-nucleotide ribosomal RNA is filed under the name uncultured bacterium. RNAcentral's name for it is "partial 16S ribosomal RNA". It matches the Rfam family "Bacterial small subunit ribosomal RNA", at positions 28 to 507 of the family's 1533-position model. The record is from RNAcentral.